This 677-nucleotide long non-coding RNA is filed under the name Elaeis guineensis (African oil palm). Its description in RNAcentral is "long non-coding RNA (EGUI_LNC039901)". Lineage: Eukaryota; Viridiplantae; Streptophyta; Magnoliopsida; Arecales; Arecaceae. The record is from RNAcentral.
GGGACCAAAAAAAUAUGCAGUCAAACUCAGUAGCCUCGUUGCGAAUAGCCAAUGACACUACAGGUCAAAAGAUCACUCACACUACUGCAACAUUAAGAAUACCAUUGACGAGUGAGUAGACAUCCAUAUGAUUCUCGUGUUGGUCACGUUCAGUACAAGUUUUCUCUAACAACCAUCUGUACUUUCAUCCAAUAUCCCUAUGCUGUAGAUCCAAGACUCAUCUGCCCAUAAGGGAGGUAAACUGUGCACCGAUCUCGAAUGGAUUGAUCACUGUCUUCUGUGACAAUCCUUUAAUCGAGAGUAUUUAGAAAUUAAUCACUAAUUAAUAUAUAUCUUAAAUUCUUAAUACUUUAAGAAUAUACAAAAAUCAUCUUUGUUAAUUUCUAAGAUAAAUCAUGGACACAUAAACAUGAUUAGAAUGAAUAAGCUCUUUAUUAAUGAUAAAAAGUUACAAGUACAAGUUUAAGCCUUGGAAAUAUAAGAUGUGUCAGCCAAUAAUUGAUUUCUAAGGUACAAAUCAAACACGUCACUGGUGGAUCAUAAGACUAACAAGAAUUAUUUUGAUGAUCAAUAAUUUUUGAUUGGUGAGUUGGAAUUAUUCCAAUCCAUUAAAAAAAAUUUCAAUGAUAUUUUGAUGGAGAUCAAAAUAUUUUUCACUACCAGAUAGAAUAGAACCU